This is a long non-coding RNA of Zingiber officinale, 202 nucleotides long. RefSeq lists it as uncharacterized. The transcript has 3 exons. Lineage: Eukaryota; Viridiplantae; Streptophyta; Magnoliopsida; Zingiberales; Zingiberaceae. The record is from RefSeq and is a predicted model, not a curated record.
CCAGAGCUCUAAAGCUGAGUUUCUCCAUCGGGGUCUCUGUGCCGGUUGAGGUGUUUCCUGUCGUGGAGGUAAAUCGAGUGGCUCACUGAGAGGGGCUCGGCCACGACUUCCAGCAGCUGGUUUGCCUCCGGGAAACAGUAGUCUCGUGGAGGCUCUGAAUGGUGAAUUUGUGGCAGUAGGCAGCACCAGCGUGCCAGAGCCG